Molecule: long non-coding RNA, 2168 nt
Filed under: Capsella grandiflora
Lineage: Eukaryota; Viridiplantae; Streptophyta; Magnoliopsida; Brassicales; Brassicaceae
Description: long non-coding RNA (CGRA_LNC001676)
Source: RNAcentral
AAAAAAACAGAAGCAUACAAAGUUAUUGCUAUGAAUUUAUGGCAUGUGUAGAAAAAUACAAAAACAUACACUAGUACUUGUUAUGAAUGUGUGGCAUGGGUAGAUAAAUACAAAAAACACUAGUACACAUUUGUGGUUCCAUAAAUUGCAGAACAAAAACACAAGUACAUAUUUUGUUUGCUUUCUCUCUCCCUACCUUCCUUCCUAUCUUCCUCCCUUCUCUCUCUCCAUCUGUAUAUAAAGAACACAAAUAUAUGUAUAAAGAACCACAACAACUGAUCAAACCAGAUUACCAAACAAAACCAAUAACAUAACUUAAUCGAUCAAACCAAUUUAUAAAAAACUCAAUCGAUCCAACAAAGAAUAAAACCAGAUUACCAAACAGAACCAAGACAAUUGAUGAAACCAAUUUAUAAAGAACCAAAACAUAACUCAUCUCUGUAAGGAAACAAAAACAGAACUCAAAGGCUUUGAUUAGGUUAAGAACAUAAUAUGUUGUCAAUUUAUAACAGAAACAGAACAUGUUGUCAUUAGGUUAAGAACAAAAACAGAAAUUGAACAUGUUCUCCAUUUAUAAAGAACCAAACACUGAACACAAAACAUUAAAACAUAACAUCAGAACAGAAACUGAUUAGGUUGACAACAUUUCAUUAAUUAACUUGUCUUUUCAAGCCUUCUCUGUUUCACUAAGAGGAUCUAUUUUUGCAAGUAGAUUUUCAAGUAUAGUAUGCUUACUUUGAUUCUCUUGCAAAGCAAAGGCCUUCUAUCUCAACUCAUAAUCUUUUUGCUUCAUAUCAAAUCCUCUCGACCUCUAACAUCUGAAACUCCUACAGAGCCUUAUGUUCAUCGACAAUGCUUGUAUUAUUGUUGAUUCUUUUCCCGUUUCUCUUCUCUGCCUUAAUACUAGCAAGACGAGUACCUCACUAUUCCUCUACAUGAUUGAUCCUUGUGAAGCUUGCAGAACCAACAUUGUAUUUGUUUCUUUUUUUUUGCUGCAGAUUCUUAAGCAGAAGAUCCACACCAUUUUUGAUCAUGUCGGAGCUCUCUCCAACAAUGCCUAAGUGUGACCUUAGUCUUGUGAUUGUUGAAGAAGAUUUGGUAAGCCAAUUUCAUCACAUCAUCAUUAUUUUAGCCACUUGAUUUCUCUUUUGUUGCAGCCUCAAAGCUUUCUACAAAUUGGCAGACUUGUUCAUUGAUUUUGUGCCACCUUUGUUUACAGUGAGUGAUCUCUCUCUAUUCCAGACCAGCUAGCUGAGAACUUGCACUAUAAUAAGUUGUGAUGCGUUCCUAAAAAUAACUACAUUUUUUGCUCAUUUAACACAAUAACAUCCUUACUAGUGUUGAGCCAGGCACUGAUAACAUCCUCUAUGGGAGACCAUUUCCUUCUAGUAAAACGCUCCUUAGGUUUGUCUUCAUCUAGGGUUGGAACAUCAAUUUGUUGAAAAUUCUAAUACUGAUUAGGGUUUUUACUAGUUAAGAGAUUUAAAAAUAUUUUAAAGGAGUCCAUAACUUUAUGGAGAGAGGAAGGGUUAAGAGGUUUAAAAAUAGGAGAGAACAAAAGAGAGAAGAUUGGUGAACAUAAGAGAACGGAAGAUAGAGGAUGGGUUAACAGAAGAGAAUAGAAGAGAGAGGAUGGGUUAAGUGUGAAAGAGAUAGUAAGGGUUAAGUAGAAGUACAAGUAUUAAUGUGUGAAAGAGAGAAGGACUAACAUGCAUUUAUCAUAGAAACUAAAGUAUUUAUCACACCAAGUAACAGUCUUAGUCUAAGUAGUUGCAACUAACAAACAUUCAAGGGAAACAUUAAGAAAAUCAAUCCCAAUUUAAUUUAAUUCUAUAGAUAAACAAAAUCAAUCCUAGAUAAAGACUAUAACGUGAAACUUCAUAUCAAAUCAGAUACAAAAACAAAACGAAUCAACCCAUAGUAUGACACCCAUAUUUUAUAUCAUUGAAAUACUAAAAGAAAAUUUCAAAUCCCUAAUUAAAAGAACAAACAAAAUCAAACGAUCAAUUCAAAGAAUCGUACCUAUCUGUUUCUCGAUUCGGUGUAGAUAUGUUUCUCUUUUGUUUGCCCAUUGGAGAUAACGAGAAGAGAUUGAGAGAGAGAUCGAGAUAUAUUUCUUCUUAAUUUUCCUCUCCAAUCAAACAAGUGAACGAGAGAGAGAGAGAGAG